CCAAAGGGAUGCCUCAGUAACGGCGAGUGAAGCGGCAAAAGCUCAAAUUUGAAACCCUCGGGAUUGUAAUUUGAAGAUUUGGCAUUGGAGAAAGCUAACCCAAGUUGCUUGGAAUAGUACGUCAUAGAGGGUGACAACCCCGUCUGGCUAACCGUUCUCCAUGUAUUGCCUUAUCAAAGAGUCGAGUUGUUUGGGAAUGCAGCUCAAAGUGGGUGGUAAACUCCAUCUAAAGCUAAAUACUGGUGAGAGACCGAUAGCGAACAAGUACUGUGAAGGAAAGGUGAAAAGAACUUUGAAAAGAGAGUGAAAUAGUAUGUGAAAUUGUUGAUAGGGAAGGAAAUGAGUGGAGAGUGGCCGAGGUUUCAGCCGCCCCUCGUGGGCGGUGUACUGCCGACGCCGAGUCAUCGAUAGCGAGACGAGGGUUACAAAUGGGAGCGCCUUUCGGGCGUUCUCCCCUAACCCUCCACACUGCCACCGACGACAUAAUCCACCCAUUUCACCCGUCUUGAACACCCCGGGAACAAAGA
Molecule: ribosomal RNA, 527 nt
Filed under: Yarrowia lipolytica
Lineage: Eukaryota; Fungi; Ascomycota; Dipodascomycetes; Dipodascales
Description: partial large subunit ribosomal RNA
Rfam family: Eukaryotic large subunit ribosomal RNA
Source: RNAcentral